RNAcentral lists this ribosomal RNA (253 nucleotides) under uncultured bacterium. Its description in RNAcentral is "partial 16S ribosomal RNA". It matches the Rfam family "Bacterial small subunit ribosomal RNA", at positions 524 to 776 of the family's 1533-position model. The record is from RNAcentral.
UACGUAGGGCGCAAGCGUUGUCCGGAAUUAUUGGGCGUAAAGAGCUCGUAGGCGGUUUGUCGCGUCUGCUGUGAAAACUCGAGGCUCAACCUCGGGCUUGCAGUGGGUACGGGCAGACUAGAGUGCGGUAGGGGUGACUGGAAUUCCUGGUGUAGCGGUGGAAUGCGCAGAUAUCAGGAAGAACACCCGUGGCGAAGGCGGCUCUCUGGGACGGUACUGACGCUGAGACGCGAAAGCGUGGGGAGCGAACAGG